AGAGCGAACGCUGGCGGCAGGCUUAACACAUGCAAGUCGAGCGCCCCGCAAGGGGAGCGGCAGACGGGAGAGUAACACGUGGGAACGUACCUUUCGGUUCGGAACAACCCAGGGAAACUUGGGCUAAUACCGGAUACGCCCGCAAGGGGAAAGAUUUAUCGCCGGAAGAUCGGCCCGCGUCUGAUUAGCUAGUUGGUGAGGUAACGGCUCACCAAGGCGACGAUCAGUAGCUGGUCUGAGAGGAUGAUCAGCCUCACUGGGACUGAGACACGGCCCAGACUCCUACGGGAGGCAGCAGUGGGGAAUAUUGGACAAUGGGCGCAAGCCUGAUCCAGCCAUGCCGCGUGGGUGAUGAAGGCCCUAGGGUUGUAAAGCCCUUUCGGCGGGGAAGAUAAUGGACGGUACCCGCAGAAGAAGCCCCGGCUAACUUCGUGCCAGCAGCCGC
This 445-nucleotide ribosomal RNA is filed under the name uncultured bacterium. Its description in RNAcentral is "SSU rRNA". It matches the Rfam family "Bacterial small subunit ribosomal RNA", at positions 26 to 518 of the family's 1533-position model. The record is from RNAcentral.